UUUUAGGUGGCCGAGAACUAAGCAUUAGACUUUUAAUCUAACUACGAUAAUUUUUAUCCCUGGCACC
RNAcentral lists this transfer RNA (67 nucleotides) under Monodonta labio. RNAcentral describes it as "tRNA-Lys". Lineage: Eukaryota; Metazoa; Mollusca; Gastropoda; Trochida; Trochidae. The record is from RNAcentral.